CCUGCUUCUUCCUGCCCCCAUGCCAGGCACGGCACCAGCAGCGGCCCCACCUUCCUUCUGCAAAUGCAUUCUUCAAUUCUAGAAGGAAAUCAUAAGCGACUUGCCCGGGGAGGAUUGCUCAUGAGUGAGUAAAGGAAUAAACUUUAUGAUAAUUAUUAAUCAUUAUUAUUUUACUUAAGCACUAUAUCCCUCCUUUCAGAAGGCACUUAAGGGAGCACUUUGUUUUUUAAGGGCUGGAUGUUUGUCCCAUCCUCUACCAGGCCUCAACAUCUUCUGAAGGCAAGAGCCUGGAGGGUCAGCCCUGGAUCCAGGAACCCUAAAACUGUACAAGUCUUAGGCUUCAGGGAACUUGGAGCCAUUUCUGACAAUGCUUAGGAUUGCUCUCAGGAUGAAAUGAGCUAAUUCACAUUGAGUGUGGGGCACCCGGUACACACCAGAGGAGUGUCAGCUGUUCUCAUUAUGUGAAGGUG
RNAcentral lists this long non-coding RNA (470 nucleotides) under Ailuropoda melanoleuca (giant panda). RNAcentral's name for it is "lncRNA (ENSAMEG00000030685.1)". The record is from RNAcentral. Lineage: Eukaryota; Metazoa; Chordata; Mammalia; Carnivora; Ursidae.